RNAcentral lists this unclassified non-coding RNA (205 nucleotides) under soil metagenome. RNAcentral describes it as "partial contains 5.8S ribosomal RNA, internal transcribed spacer 2, and large subunit ribosomal RNA". The record is from RNAcentral.
AACACUGUUAACCUGCGGUACCUGCGGAGGGAUCAUUACCGAGUUUACAACUCCCAAACCCCUGUGAACAUACCAAUUGUUGCCUCGGCGGAUCAGCCCGCUCCCGGUAAAACGGGACGGCCCGCCAGAGGACCCCUAAACUCUGUUUCUAUAUGUAACUUCUGAGUAAAACCAUAAAUAAAUCAAAACUUUCAACAAUGGAUCU